This 460-nucleotide ribosomal RNA is filed under the name uncultured bacterium. RNAcentral's name for it is "partial 16S ribosomal RNA". It matches the Rfam family "Bacterial small subunit ribosomal RNA", at positions 338 to 795 of the family's 1533-position model. The record is from RNAcentral.
CCUACGGGAGGCAGCAGUGAGGAAUAUUGGUCAAUGGACGAGAGUCUGAACCAGCCAAGUAGCGUGAAGGAUGACUGCCCUAUGGGUUGUAAACUUCUUUUAUAUGGGAAUAACAUGUUCCACGUGUGGGAUUUUGUAUGUACCAUAUGAAUAAGGAUCGGCUAACUCCGUGCCAGCAGCCGCGGUAAUACGGAGGAUCCGAGCGUUAUCCGGAUUUAUUGGGUUUAAAGGGAGCGUAGGUGGAUUGUUAAGUCAGUUGUGAAAGUUUGCGGCUCAACCGUAAAAUUGCAGUUGAAACUGGCAGUCUUGAGUACAGUAGAGGUGGGCGGAAUUCGUGGUGUAGCGGUGAAAUGCUUAGAUAUCACGAAGAACUCCGAUUGCGAAGGCAGUUCACUGGACUGCAACUGACACUGGGGCUCGAAAGUGUGGGUAUCAAACAGGAUUAGAUACCCCUGGAGUC